This 931-nucleotide ribosomal RNA is filed under the name Yersinia enterocolitica. RNAcentral's name for it is "partial 23S ribosomal RNA". It matches the Rfam family "Bacterial large subunit ribosomal RNA", at positions 414 to 1246 of the family's 2925-position model. The record is from RNAcentral. Lineage: Bacteria; Pseudomonadati; Pseudomonadota; Gammaproteobacteria; Enterobacterales; Yersiniaceae.
AGGGCGGGACACGUGACAUCCUGUCUGAAUAUGGGGGGACCAUCCUCCAAGGCUAAAUACUCCUGACUGACCGAUAGUGAACCAGUACCGUGAGGGAAAGGCGAAAAGAACCCCGGCGAGGGGAGUGAAACAGAACCUGAAACCGUGUACGUACAAGCAGUGGGAGCACCUUCGUGGUGUGACUGCGUACCUUUUGUAUAAUGGGUCAGCGACUUAUAUUUUGUAGCAAGGUUAACCGAAUAGGGGAGCCGUAGGGAAACCGAGUCUUAACUGGGCGUCUAGUUGCAAGGUAUAGACCCGAAACCCGGUGAUCUAGCCAUGGGCAGGUUGAAGGUUGGGUAACACUAACUGGAGGACCGAACCGACUAAUGUUGAAAAAUUAGCGGAUGACUUGUGGCUGGGGGUGAAAGGCCAAUCAAACCGGGAGAUAGCUGGUUCUCCCCGAAAGCUAUUUAGGUAGCGCCUCGUGAACUCAUCUUCGGGGGUAGAGCACUGUUUCGGCUAGGGGGUCAUCCCGACUUACCAAACCGAUGCAAACUCCGAAUACCGAAGAAUGUUAUCACGGGAGACACACGGCGGGUGCUAACGUCCGUCGUGAAGAGGGAAACAACCCAGACCGCCAGCUAAGGUCCCAAAGUCAUGGUUAAGUGGGAAACGAUGUGGGAAGGCACAGACAGCCAGGAUGUUGGCUUAGAAGCAGCCAUCAUUUAAAGAAAGCGUAAUAGCUCACUGGUCGAGUCGGCCUGCGCGGAAGAUGUAACGGGGCUAAACCAUGCACCGAAGCUGCGGCAGCGAACGUAUCACUUAAAACGCUUAACGUGACGGCAAAGCCGGCAUGUUCAAGCCACACUAAACGUUGAGUUGGCCGAUGUGCUGACAAACGAACAGGCGUUUUAAGGAUACGUUCGUUGGGUAGGGGAGCGUUCUGUAA